RNAcentral lists this unclassified non-coding RNA (256 nucleotides) under uncultured Gaiellales bacterium. RNAcentral's name for it is "contains 16S-23S intergenic spacer region". Lineage: Bacteria; Bacillati; Actinomycetota; Thermoleophilia; Gaiellales. The record is from RNAcentral.
AGGGCUUGACAUGCACCGGCCCCGAAGGGCUGCCGUAUUUCUACGACAUUCCGGUGCAUGUCAAGCCCUGGUAAGGUUCUUCGCGUUGCGUCGAAUUAAACCACAUGCUCCGCUGCUUGUGCGGGCCCCCGUCAAUUCCUUUGAGUUUUAGCCUUGCGGCCGUACUCCCCAGGCGGGGUGCUUAAUGCGUUAGCUUCGGCACGGGCGGAGUCGACACCGCCCACACCUAGCACCCAUCGUUUACGGCGUGGACUAC